Small nuclear RNA from Apodemus sylvaticus (European woodmouse), 105 nucleotides. The record is from RefSeq and is a predicted model, not a curated record. Lineage: Eukaryota; Metazoa; Chordata; Mammalia; Rodentia; Muridae.
AUGUUUCCUUCAGCAGCAUACACAGAAAAAUCAGAAUGAUAUGGAGAUUAGCAGGGCCCAUGCAAAAAGGACAAAACACAAAUUCAUUAAGCAUUCCAUAGUUUU